This 519-nucleotide ribosomal RNA is filed under the name uncultured bacterium. Its description in RNAcentral is "bacterial SSU rRNA". It matches the Rfam family "Bacterial small subunit ribosomal RNA", at positions 8 to 518 of the family's 1533-position model. The record is from RNAcentral.
AGAGUUUGAUUAUGGCUCAGGAUGAACGCUAGCUACAGGCUUAACACAUGCAAGUCGAGGGGCAGCAUUGGAGUAGCAAUACUUCAGAUGGCGACCGGCGCACGGGUGAGUAACACGUAUCCAACCUGCCGCUUACUCGGGGAUAGCCUUUCGAAAGAAAGAUUAAUACCCGAUGGUAUAAAGAGUUCGCAUGUUCUCUUUAUUAAAGAAUUUCGGUAAGCGAUGGGGAUGCGUUCCAUUAGAUAGUUGGCGGGGUAACGGCCCACCAAGUCUACGAUGGAUAGGGGUUCUGAGAGGAAGGUCCCCCACAUUGGAACUGAGACACGGUCCAAACUCCUACGGGAGGCAGCGGUGAGGAAUAUUGGUCAAUGGACGAGAGUCUGAACCAGCCCAAGUAGCGUGAAGGAUGCCUGCCCUAUGGGUUGUAAACUUCUUUUAUAAGGGAAUAAAGUGAGGGACGUGUCCCUUUUUGUAUGUACCUUAUGAAUAAGGAUCGGCUAACUCCGUGCCAGCCGCCGC